GGUCGCGGGACGGUUGCUGGAGCCUAUCUCAGCUGCAUUCGGACGGAAGGCGGAGUACACCCUGGACAAGUCGCCACCUCACCACAGCUAUAAGGUCCUUCAGCAUUCUUGAUGACAUCCUGGCCGCCACGCUGGGAAAAAGUGUGCAGCAAGAAUAGAAAUAAGCCGGGCUGAGACACAUUGUUGGAGUUAGAGACAGAGAGAGAGAGAGAGAGAUAGCACGAACAGAGAACUUGGCUUUUAGUAGU
Molecule: long non-coding RNA, 248 nt
Organism: Nerophis ophidion (straightnose pipefish)
Lineage: Eukaryota; Metazoa; Chordata; Actinopteri; Syngnathiformes; Syngnathidae
Exons: 3
Source: RefSeq, a predicted model, not a curated record